GACGAACGCUGGCGGCGUGCUUAACACAUGCAAGUCGAGCGGUAAGGCCCUUUCGGGGGUACACGAGCGGCGAACGGGUGAGUAACACGUGGGUGACCUGCCCUCAGCUCUGGGAUAAGCCUGGGAAACCGGGUCUAAUACCGGAUAUGACUCCAUGACGCAUGUUGUGGGGUGGAAAGCCUUGUGCGGCUGAGGAUGGGCCCGCGGCCUAUCAGCUUGUUGGUGGGGGAUGGCCUACCAAGGCGACGACGGGUAGCCGGCCUGAGAGGGCGACCGGCCACACUGGGACUGAGACACGGCCCAGACUCCUACGGGAGGCAGCAGUGGGGAAUCUUGCGCAAUGGACGAAAGUCUGACGCAGCGAUGCCGCGUGGGGGAUGAAGGCCUCGGUCGUAACCCGUU
RNAcentral lists this ribosomal RNA (402 nucleotides) under uncultured bacterium. Its description in RNAcentral is "bacterial SSU rRNA". It matches the Rfam family "Bacterial small subunit ribosomal RNA", at positions 28 to 434 of the family's 1533-position model. The record is from RNAcentral.